RNAcentral lists this ribosomal RNA (493 nucleotides) under uncultured Myroides sp. Its description in RNAcentral is "partial 16S ribosomal RNA". Lineage: Bacteria; Pseudomonadati; Bacteroidota; Flavobacteriia; Flavobacteriales; Flavobacteriaceae. The record is from RNAcentral.
CACGGAGUUAGCCGAUCCUUAUUCUUACAGUACCGUCAAGUCCCUACUCGUAGGGAGGUUUCUUCCUGUACAAAAGCAGUUUACAAUCCAUAGGACCGUCAUCCUGCACGCGGCAUGGCUGGUUCAGAGUUGCCUCCAUUGACCAAUAUUCCUCACUGCUGCCUCCCGUAGGAGUCUGGUCCGUGUCUCAGUACCAGUGUGGGGGAUCUCCCUCUCAGGACCCCUAAUCAUCGUUGCCUUGGUAUGCCGUUACCACACCAACUAGCUAAUGAUACGCAUGCCCAUCUUAUACCGAUAAAUCUUUAUUAUCAAUACGAUGCCAUAUCGAUAAACCAUGGAGCAUUAAUCCGAAUUUCUUCGGGCUAUUCCCUGUAUAAGGUAGUUGCAUACGCGUUACUCACCCGUGCGCCGGUCUCAAAAAGCAAGCUCUUUCUACCCCUCGACUUGCAUGUGUUAGGCCUGCCGCUAGCGUUCAUCCUGAGCCAGGAUCAAA